GAUUAUCCUGCGUGUUGCUUUGACAGGUGUGAUGAUCUCUCUGUUGAAGGAUUUAAAAGAGUCGAUUUUCCCUAAAUCCCCUCAAGACAUCACCGUCAGUCACCUCUUCAAAGACAACAUGGCUGGGCCCAGCUAUGAUUACGACUGCUUCUUCUCUGAAAAGAUCGCCGAGAAGAA
Long non-coding RNA from Hippocampus comes (tiger tail seahorse), 177 nucleotides. RefSeq lists it as uncharacterized. NCBI's taxonomy places the organism in Eukaryota, Metazoa, Chordata, Actinopteri, Syngnathiformes, Syngnathidae. The record is from RefSeq and is a predicted model, not a curated record. The transcript is spliced from 2 exons.